Molecule: ribosomal RNA, 259 nt
Filed under: uncultured bacterium
Lineage: Bacteria
Description: partial 16S ribosomal RNA
Rfam family: Bacterial small subunit ribosomal RNA
Source: RNAcentral
GUCCGCACCGUAAACUAUGAUUACUCGUUGUUGGCGAUAUGACAGUCAGCGACCAAGCGAAAGCGAUAAGUAAUCCACCUGGGGAGUACGCCGGCAACGGUGAAACUCAAAGGAAUUGACGGGGGUCCGCACAAGCGGAGGAGCAUGUGGUUUAAUUCGAUGAUACGCGAGGAACCUUACCUGGGCUUGAAAGUUAGCGACCGGUCCUGAAAGGGAUCUUCCAGCAAUGGCGCGAAACUAGGUGCUGCAUGGCUGUCGU